GGGGCCGUAGCUUAGUUGGGAGAGCGCCGCCCUUGCACGGCGGAGGUCAGGAGUUCGAAUCUCCUCGGCUCCACCA
RNAcentral lists this transfer RNA (76 nucleotides) under Pseudomonadota bacterium. RNAcentral describes it as "tRNA-Ala". It matches the Rfam family "tRNA". Rfam says of the family: Transfer RNA (tRNA) molecules are approximately 80 nucleotides in length. Their secondary structure includes four short double-helical elements and three loops (D, anti-codon, and T loops). Further hydrogen bonds mediate the characteristic L-shaped molecular structure. tRNAs have two regions of fundamental functional importance: the anti-codon, which is responsible for specific mRNA codon recognition, and the 3' end, to which the tRNAs corresponding amino acid is attached (by aminoacyl-tRNA synthetases). tRNAs cope with the degeneracy of the genetic code in two manners: having more than one tRNA (with a specific anti-codon) for a particular amino acid; and 'wobble' base-pairing, i.e. permitting non-standard base-pairing at the 3rd anti-codon position. RNAcentral also lists the same sequence under 2 other names. Lineage: Bacteria; Pseudomonadati; Pseudomonadota. The record is from RNAcentral.